AGCAGUCGCCGCGGUAACACAGAGGGUGCGAGCGUUAAUCGGAUUUACUGGGCGUAAAGCGUGCGUAGGCGGCUUCUUAAGUCGGAUGUGAAAUCCCUGAGCUUAACUUAGGAAUUGCAUUCGAUACUGGGAAGCUAGAGUAUGGGAGAGGAUGGUAGAAUUCCAGGUGUAGCGGUGAAAUGCGUAGAGAUCUGGAGGAAUACCGAUGGCGAAGGCAGCCAUCUGGCCUAAUACUGACGCUGAGGUACGAAAGCAUGGGGAGCAAACAGGAUUAGAUACCCCAGUAGUCCCUGUCACUUAUAC
This 303-nucleotide ribosomal RNA is filed under the name uncultured bacterium. RNAcentral describes it as "partial 16S ribosomal RNA". It matches the Rfam family "Bacterial small subunit ribosomal RNA", at positions 507 to 807 of the family's 1533-position model. The record is from RNAcentral.